RNAcentral lists this non-coding RNA (106 nucleotides) under unclassified sequences. RNAcentral's name for it is "PhotoRC-II RNA". It matches the Rfam family "PhotoRC-II RNA". The record is from RNAcentral.
UCACCUUUUCUCUUGGAGACCCGGACUAACACUCCUACCGAGACUAUCCAAGUAAAAUACGUCUCUCAUACCAACUCUGGAGGGUAGAGUUGGAAUACUAUACUCA